Molecule: ribosomal RNA, 615 nt
Filed under: Triticum aestivum (bread wheat)
Lineage: Eukaryota; Viridiplantae; Streptophyta; Magnoliopsida; Poales; Poaceae
Description: partial small subunit ribosomal RNA
Source: RNAcentral
AUGGACAACCACGGCGAUUUGUACUGCUACACCGGCCGCUGCAUGGGCGCCGCGGCCGACCCCUCCUGCUCCUCCUCCGCCUCCUUGUCGUCCUUGGACUCGUUUCUUUCCGACAUGAGCAGCGGCGAGACGAUUGGCGCCGAAACGAGUCCUCGGCCCAACAAGCGAGCAGCCUCGACCGCACCGUCGUACAUCGGCGUGCGCGCGCGGCCGUGGGGACGGUUCGCGGCAGAGAUCCGGGACUCGACGCGGGGCGGCGCGCGGGUGUGGUUAGGCACGUUCGCCACGGCCGAGGCCGCCGCCAUGGCCUACGACCAGGCGGCGCUCUCCUCGCGGGGCGCGGCCACGGCGCUCAACUUCCCUUUGGAGCGCGUCCAGGAGUCGCUCCGCGCCCUCAACGCCACCGGCACAGGCAUGGCUGGCUCGCCCGUGCUGGCGCUCAAACGCCGCCACUCCAAGAGAAAGAGGCGCAGCAAGGCCGAGAUAGCCAACGACGCGGCGACAUGCACGAGGAGGAAGAGCAAAACGAUGGCCACGCAGGAGCGGUUCAUCGUGGAGCUGGAGGACCUCGGCACCGACUACCUGGAUGAGCUUCUCAGGAUCACGUGUGUGUAA